GGUUUAGUGGUAGAACAUUGGUGCGUAGAGCCAAAGGUCCCGGGUUCGAUUCCCGG
Molecule: transfer RNA, 56 nt
Filed under: Agrilus planipennis (emerald ash borer)
Lineage: Eukaryota; Metazoa; Arthropoda; Insecta; Coleoptera; Buprestidae
Rfam family: tRNA
About the family: Transfer RNA (tRNA) molecules are approximately 80 nucleotides in length.
Source: Rfam by way of RNAcentral